Molecule: long non-coding RNA, 202 nt
Filed under: Elaeis guineensis (African oil palm)
Lineage: Eukaryota; Viridiplantae; Streptophyta; Magnoliopsida; Arecales; Arecaceae
Description: long non-coding RNA (EGUI_LNC037281)
Source: RNAcentral
CUGGACUCUCGAGAGCAGCUUUGGAGAGGCCUGAACUCCCUUGGAAGCGAAGCGUUCGGCUCCUUGAGGAGCUCUUUCUCUGCAGCUCAUCUCCUCGGAUGUUCUGGCCCUCUUGGAUGGACCACCACUGGGGCUCCUUCGCGAGUGAAUCUUAAGACGAGGAGAACCUCUUCCCACUUCGAGCGUCCUCAGAUGCUUUAGG